This is a non-coding RNA of Labrus bergylta (ballan wrasse), 1275 nucleotides long. The record is from RefSeq and is a predicted model, not a curated record. Lineage: Eukaryota; Metazoa; Chordata; Actinopteri; Labriformes; Labridae.
GCUCGCCCCCUCCCUCUGAGCAGCAGGAGCUACGUCAUGACGGAUGCUGUAAGUCGGGCCAGGCUAAAGCAGCUCCGCGGGCCUCGUAGUCAAGUCCCCAAACUCCCGAAGGCGGCCCACGCUUGUCUGCAGUGCCCGACUUCCUACAAGGACUGCGACGCUCUAAUCAUGCAUCGCCUCAGGCACAUCGAGGGGAAGCACUGGCCGUGUCUGCUCUGCAGUAAGACGUUCUUUCGACUGAGAAAUGUAAGAAACCACAUCCGCACCCACGACCCCAAGUUGUACAAAUGCCGGAGCUGCAUCGUCUCCGGCUCCUGAGGCAGGCGGGCGGUCCGCUCCAUCGGAGAGACUAAAAGAUGAAGGCUGUCAGUGUCUGACUGCAGCGAGCAGGCUGAUCGAUCAGCAGCUUGUACAUAAUGCAUCACACACACAAGCACAAGGGGUCUGUGGAAAAGGAAGAAUGACUCAGAGUCUAAUCAUUGGAGCUGUCAGUUAUUACUAAUGGUAUUUAAAUAACCCGACUAAGGUUGCCGGUUAGCAUCCACACAGAAGGUUAAACUUGAACAUUACACUCAGGGGGUGGGGGAUUGUGACGCCACGGUAUUUAACAUCACGGUUGUGUAUAAAAUGAAAUUGUAAAGUGAUUUGUUAAAACUAUUACCGCCGCUACUUUAAUGUUAUUUUUCUAUGUAUAGAUGAACUUUGAGUGCACUUAUAUCAUAGCUUAUGUGGUAAAAACCUAAGAAGUGGUGUUGAAGUUUUGAAGUCUACGGCGGGAAUACUUGAAGUGAUGGAAGUGCUGGAGGGAUUACUUGAAGUCGGGGGGGGGGGGGGGGGUCUGAGGAGUGAGACGGUCCUAUUGGGUGUUAAAAGUGGAUUUUUGUCUUUUAUGGUGUGCUAAUGUUUUUAAUCACCCGACUAGUUUCCCUCCUUUCUGCUAGUCUCUCAAAGCUCGAGAAGCGGAUCUUUGACUCUGGUCUGGUGACAUCACUGCAUGUGUAUCUGCAGCCUGUUGUAGUCCACUGUCUUUUCCUCAGUCUGCCUAUUUGAAAAAGGGAAAACCUGUCUCGUUUUUAAUGUGAAUUUCUGAGCAGUUACCCCACACCGAUGUGUCAUUACAACUUUGAAUUGAUCUCCCCUUCAAUCCAAGCCAUGGAUUUCAAAUUCCCCUCCUGCUGAUUAAAUGCAAUGUGUUCACAUGAAGAGAUGUUUAUGUUUCACUCGUUGAUUUUACAAAUAAACAAGCUGUCUCUUGCUAUCUGUAAAAAGGCUGAA